Liolophura sinensis is the source of this 4347-nucleotide RNA transcript. RefSeq lists it as uncharacterized. The transcript has 7 exons. The record is from RefSeq and is a predicted model, not a curated record. NCBI's taxonomy places the organism in Eukaryota, Metazoa, Mollusca, Polyplacophora, Chitonida, Chitonidae.
UCACACACUCAGUUAUACUGUGGAUUUUCCCUCUUGUGAAUUGGCCUCUGAGCAUUUAUGCCUGUGUGGUAUAUAUUGUGGAAUAUAUGCGUGGGUUUGGACUUGACACCGUGUUAAAGGAGACUGGCAAGAUGGGUGUAUCACUGGAAAGAGUACAGAAUAAAUUUGCUUGUAUAAUUGGAGAAUUGUGUAAUGAGCCAUUUGUAUUAUCCCAAUUUGCUGUAUGGCUUGAUAUGCGCCUUGCAGAGUACAAAGCUAAAGGAUCCAUAUGUUUGGAAUGCUGUGGGGACAUUCCCAAUCCCUCAUGGUUGAAAGGCUUGCCCCUGCAGGAGACCCACGAUCUGCAGACUGAAAGUAGCUGGCCUCCCACAGAUGACACAGGACAGGCCUUUAGAGGUCCUAGUGGAUCAGCACAUACUUCUUCCAGGAGGAUUCCGAGCAAACAUCAAAAUCAGACAUUCCGUUCAUCAAACCAACAAUCCAGUGACAUUUCCCAUCAUCGACUGGACAGCCAUGUGUCAAUGUCCCACCAUUCCUCACCAGCUCAAUCAUUACCCUCAUCUCCCAUUACAAACAGACCCCUGCCGGUUGAUAGCUUGCAGACUGAUAUGGGAUUGCCUUCAGAUAUUGUUGUGAAACAGGAAGUGUUUGAUGACAGCUCUGCAGAACCUGUUGUCCCAGUAAGCAUGCAUACCCACGAAGAAAUCCAGUCAGAAUUGCGAAAAAGAACUUCUGAUUCUAUUUCUGAUGUAUCAUCAUCUAGAAAAGUGCAAAAAGUCUUUCAUAGUUCAUCAGACGUUGCUCCCAUCAAUGAAUCCCUCAGCUCAAUAAUUUCCUUCAACCAGGAGGGGGCUAAACUUGAUUCUCAGGGCAGUGUGGACAGUGUGGUGGGUGUGAGUGUAGAACAGUAUAACCAGAGCAUGGAUGAUGAUGACAUAGAGAUCCUGGAGGAGUCUUUCAUGCAGCAGGGUGCAGGUACAGACUUGGCUGUAGGAAUAGCCAACAGCAGUGAUUCAGACACAUCAAGGUUUUCCCAGGGAGACAGCUUGUACUUAGGAGAGAGCAGUCAGCAAGGCAACAACAGCACUGUUGACAAUCCUAUUCACUGGCCUAGGCUUUCUACGGGCCCAGGUUUCGCUCUAUCCAGUUAUCAGUCUACCAGAAGAAGAGCUUGGAACGCAAAACCAAUCAAACCCUUUUCGACCAUAAGAAAAACCUGCUGUGCUGUGUCGAUCUUCCAUCAGUGGCUGCGAGAGCAUUCCAACGACUCCCGAUCUGUAGAGGAAAUACCGCCUAGAGAAUUGAAUGAUUACCUUGUUGCGUUUUUAACCACUGUCAAAAAGAAAAAUGGCUUCCCAUAUUUUGCCAAGUCUUUGAAAUGUGUUCGUGACAGCAUCGACCGGCACCUUAAAGAUCAAAAUUAUCCCUGCUCUAUAACAACUUCAUUGGAGUUUUCAACCAGCCAAAUCGCCUAUCUAGUUGGCAGUAUGGGCCCUAACCAAGACGUGAACUCGUACCUUGCUGAAGCAACUAGAGAAACAUGUGUACGGCCGAGCGCCCGUGGCACAAGCAGGAAGGCUGUAUCGGCUGUGACGGCCUUCUGCGGCUGGCUGCAAAAAACCUCUGGCGAUCUAAGAAGUAUCGAGACUAUACCCGCCAAUGAACUGGACUCCUACCUGUGUACAUACUUCUCUACCAUCAAAAAGAAAGAUGGUUCGCCAUACCUGCCGAGCUCGUUAGAAUCGCUCCGGGAUGGAAUCAACCGCCAUCUCAAGGAACAUGGAUACCCAUUUUCAAUAUCCAUGUCGGUUGAGUUCACAAGAAGUCAGUUGGCUUAUCGACAACAUAUCCACCGCCUUCAUGAUUUGAAACGGCAACAGCAGUCAGCAGCGCGUGAAUUGUUUACUUAGUCAUAAAUAAGUAUCCAAAUACAGGUUCGUUGUUCAGAGUGUGUAUUGAGAUAUUCACUGUGUGAUAAGCGUUCAUGUAUAGAGAAUGCUGAUGUUCUGAAUACGAUCAUUAGUACUGUCGUGCGUCUGGUAAACGUGGAUCGUCAUUGUAAAAACCUAAACUGGAGAGGAAACCAUCUGAAGUGUAUUUCUGAUUAGUGCUUUGGGUAUUUUGUUGGUAAGGGUCUGGAUCACAAUAUAAUGUUAUUUUGUAUUGUGUCCCGUCGAAAAAAUGUUUUUUUGUAUUUCAUUUUGUCCAGCAGUAUAUACAGCAGUGUAUUGUUGGGCUGUAGAAUUUGAAGUUCGCUUUCCGGUUAAGAUGGACACGGAUCGUAUGGAUGUUUUACAUGUACGGUAUCCAUGCCUGAAUAAAAGUUGAUACUGUCCAUUUCCGUCGUGACUUGUGUUUGCGUGUAUAUUGACGCAAGAUUUGGGAUAUGUAGACCCAUAAUAAAGUUCCAAUAACCAUUUUGUAGUUUUAUUUAUCAGUUUAGGAAGCCAACUUUUCACAAAUUUUCCGUUUUUAUUUCAUUUAUAGCGAAAAUAUCAUGGAAUGCUACGUGGAGAAGACCCUGGAAUUUCCAAGCCGUCAAGCCUGGGUCGACUAUAAGCAAAACUGUCUCAGCUGUGUCGGUUUUCAACAAGUGGCUGGCUAAGACUUCAAAUGAUUUUAGGACUGUUGAAACCAUACCUCCAUCAGAAUUAGACGCUCUCCUGGUGACUUUUUUCUUAACAAUUAAGAAGAAAAAUGGGACUCCUUAUUACCCGAAAUCAUUGAAAGCAUUGCGUGAGGGCAUUGACCGACAUCUGAAAGAAAAGGGCUAUCAGUACAUGAUAACAACCUCUCCGCUAUUCAGACAAAGUCAAGUGACAUACAGGAAACAGUUCCAGUAUUUACGCUAUCUGCAGCUGCAGGGAAGAGGAAACCAGGAACAAGCCUUGGCACCCUCUGCCUCAGCCACUUGAUCUUAUUGCCGAUUGAGAUCUUUGAACAAACCAAUUUACUGGACUGAUAGCAUGGCACUAUAUUGCCUAUCUGACGAAGAGCAAUGUGUAGUAAGAGUGAACCAAGACUCUCCAUAUGAUGUUGUGAUGUUCAAAAGAACUAUACCACCAGUGUACAUCUUUCCCAGGCAGGAUUCAUAACAACACAUGUCCUAUCUGUGCGAAAACUUUUUCUCGUGCCUAUCAUCUUAAGCGACAUAUGGCAAGUCACUCUAGUUCGGCAUAUGCUUUCGCCUGUUCUGUAUGCCAAAAGAGGUUUAAUCGUCGGGACAGUCUUCUCCGGCACGUCAAAAAGUGUAACCCAAGCCCUGUCGGCGAAACAUUUUUUAAUAACUGCUGAUGUGCCCACGUAUUCAGCCAAUCAGUAAUGCGUGGGGCCAUUUUGGUCGAACUCGUAUGCAGACAUUUUGCCCAAAAUCUAUACAUUAUGAUGUCAUAUCCUGACUCGCAUGCAGAUUGCAGAUUUACGUACUUACAUACGAACGAAAUUCCCUGAAUAUGAUCGCUUCAUAAAGUACGUGGACCGUUUGUUCGUCAACAUGAACACUUGGUUGUUAUCAAAUGUGUAUCUCCAUACAAACUCGCCUUAAAACGAGCAUAUUCAGUGUUCACUGAUGCUGUUGGUGUAUGCUUUUAACUGAUGGUGCAGGCGAUGUCACUGUUUGAAAACAAAACAGCAAAUAUUUAAGAUGUCUUACAUAUUGCUGGCGAAAAGGGAAAGUAUAUAUGUGGAAAAGGACAUGUCAUUUGUUAAGAACUGACAAAUUUGCUUUUUGAUAACUAACGUGCAUAGUAUAAUGAUAAUAUAUGGGGUGUGAUACAGCGUGAUUAAUGUGUGUUAGUCUGCGCGGUGGUGUACUCUUAUGUUUAUACAAACGAAUAGUUUGAUUAAUUUUGAAAUUAUGGUACAUUUGAAUAUGUGUGUUUUUGUUUGUUUGUUUCAUUCUUUCAUACAUUUUAAGCAGAGUUAUAUAAUAAAAUUUGCGAUUAGAGAAAUUCAGUUUCACAGAUGCUUUAAAAAUUUGGAGGAGAUUUUUUUUCACCGGUGAGUAGCACCAUGUUAAAUGUGCUAAAGAAUGCAAGAAGAGGCCUACUUCACUGGUACGAUGGCAGUCACGUUUAUGAGUGCAUGGAGGGAAUUGUGCAAGGUCUGGAGCAACUUGCUGUCCCUGAUAAAGCCGCAGCGAAUUGCCCCCCUUGAGGUCACUCUCCCAUUUAAAUGAUACGGUUUUUAUGAGCAAGCUGUGGUUAUGUAGGACCUCUGAAAAUGGCUAAUGUCGAGUUUGAAAGUUAAAGUGGCGUGAAGUGAUUGGAGACCAACCUUCAAGGCAGAUUUUGAUUUUGUAAAGUGAUUUGCUUGGAAAGAAUAAAUGUUAAAUAUUUUUAAGCCUUU